UACGUAGGGGGCAAGCGUUGUCCGGAUUUAUUGGGCGUAAAGAGCGUGUAGGCGGCUUUACAGGUCCGUUGUGAAAACUCGAGGCUCAACCUCGAGACGCCGGUGGAAACCGUAAAGCUAGAGUCCGGAAGAGGAGAGUGGAAUUCCUGGUGUAGCGGUGAAAUGCGCAGAUAUCAGGAGGAACACCCGUGGCGAAAGCGGCUCUCUGGGCCUUACCUGACGCUGAGGAGCGAAAGCGUGGGGAGCGAACAGG
This 253-nucleotide ribosomal RNA is filed under the name uncultured bacterium. Its description in RNAcentral is "partial 16S ribosomal RNA". It matches the Rfam family "Bacterial small subunit ribosomal RNA", at positions 524 to 776 of the family's 1533-position model. The record is from RNAcentral.